Molecule: long non-coding RNA, 827 nt
Filed under: Ananas comosus (pineapple)
Lineage: Eukaryota; Viridiplantae; Streptophyta; Magnoliopsida; Poales; Bromeliaceae
Description: long non-coding RNA (ACOM_LNC040998)
Source: RNAcentral
UAGUUGGACUGGGCUACUAUUAGUACCAAAAUCCUAUUGCUGCUACCAGUUCUUUAGCCUUUGGAUCAACUCUUUUCAUUAUUUCUAACCAUUGGAUUAAAUACUAUAACCGAGUGGGGACCACUCAACCCUAGGGGGACCACUCAACUCUAACCGACUAAUAUCAUCCUGACCCUACAAUUUUUCAUCAAAGGGUUAAAAACUUGAUAGCAAAAAGAGCAUUUUACUAUUAGUAAUAUUCCAGCCUAAUUCAUAUAUAUAUAUAUAUAUAUAGAGCUAGGCUAUUAUACUAUCUAUAGUACCGGAGCUUCGGUACUAUAGUAUUGUUUUCGAUCUUCGGGCAUUCAAAUUAACGAUCCACACCGUUAAAACUGAUCUAAGAUAUUUAAAAUUUUUAGAAAUAAAAUUUUAUAUUUUUUCGACAUAGUUUACUUUAUGAUCAAACCAUUUCAAAAUUGUCAAUUUUCAAAGGCUAUUAUGACGAGUUUGGAGUUUAACGAUAUAGAAGAAUGUAAAUUUCUUCAAAUUUUGAUAGAAAAUACUUUAAACUAUAUAGAUUAAGGUGAACAUUCUUGAUCUUGAAUUUAAAAGUCCUAUGCUCAUAUUUUAAAGAGUAUUGAAUUUCCACCGUUCAUUUUGACAUAAUUUAUUUACUAAGUAAACGAUAUUGAAAAAAACUAAAAUUUUAUUCCUAAGAACUUCAUAUACCCUAGAUCAUAUUUAACGGUGUGGAUCGUUGAUUUGAACGCCCUAAGAUCGAAAACUAUACUAUAAUACUGGAGCUCCGGUACUAUAGAUAGUAUAGUACCUAAUUCUAUAUAUAUAUA